UGGGAACGUGCCUUUUGGUUCGGAACAACCCAGGGAAACUUGGGCUAAUACCGGAUAAGCCCUUACGGGGAAAGAUUUAUCGCCAAAAGAUCGGCCCGCGUCUGAUUAGCUAGUUGGUAGGGUAAUGGCCUACCAAGGCUACGAUCAGUAGCUGGUCUGAGAGGAUGAUCAGCCACAUUGGGACUGAGACACGGCCCAGACUCCGUACGGGAGGCAG
Molecule: ribosomal RNA, 217 nt
Filed under: uncultured bacterium
Lineage: Bacteria
Description: partial 16S ribosomal RNA
Rfam family: Bacterial small subunit ribosomal RNA
Source: RNAcentral